Molecule: ribosomal RNA, 450 nt
Filed under: uncultured Eubacteriales bacterium
Lineage: Bacteria; Bacillati; Bacillota; Clostridia; Eubacteriales
Description: bacterial SSU rRNA
Rfam family: Bacterial small subunit ribosomal RNA
Source: RNAcentral
GGACCCGCACAAGCAGCGGAGCAUGUGGUUUAAUUCGAAGCAACGCGAAGAACCUUACCAGGGCUUGACAUCCCUCUGACAGGUCGGUAAAACGACCCUCCUUCGGGCAGAGGUGACAGGUGGUGCAUGGUUGUCGUCAGCUCGUGUCGUGAGAUGUUGGGUUAAGUCCCGCAACGAGCGCAACCCUUGUCAUUAGUUGCCAUCAAGUUAAGUUGGGCACUCUAAUGAGACUGCCGGGGAUAACUCGGAGGAAGGUGGGGAUGACGUCAAAUCAUCAUGCCCCUUAUGUUCUGGGCUACACACGUGCUACAAUGGCUGGUACAAAGGAAGCAAUACCGCGAGGUGGAGCCAAUCAAAAAAACCAGUCCCAGUUCGGAUUGUAGGCUGCAAUUCGCCUACAUGAAGUCGGAGUUGCUAGUAAUCGUGAAUCAGAAUGUCACGGUGAAUGCG